This 72-nucleotide transfer RNA is filed under the name Marmota monax (woodchuck). Its description in RNAcentral is "tRNA.Ala". The record is from RNAcentral. Lineage: Eukaryota; Metazoa; Chordata; Mammalia; Rodentia; Sciuridae.
GAGGUUGUGGCUCAGCGGUAGAGUGCUCGUCUAGCAUGUAGUGAGGCCCUGGGUUCGAUCUUCAGCACCACA